This is a long non-coding RNA of Limulus polyphemus (Atlantic horseshoe crab), 914 nucleotides long. RefSeq lists it as uncharacterized. The record is from RefSeq and is a predicted model, not a curated record. The transcript has 2 exons. Lineage: Eukaryota; Metazoa; Arthropoda; Merostomata; Xiphosura; Limulidae.
AGCAUUAUAAACUCCCAGACUUACCAUUGAGUCACUGGAGAAACGUUAUAGAAGAAAUGAUUUAAUUCAAUAUCGUUAGGAAUAAAGAGUGUUAUUUCUUACCAAAUAAUCCAAAACGGUAGAACAUGUUACAACAACGCUCACCAAGUUUCCUCUUCAAACUAAUAUACCACCCAAUAAAACUAAAAGAAAAGUCAGUAGUUACAAAUCGUCUUCUUACACAUGUCAAGGCAGUAAAUUGUAGUCAUCAGCUAUUGUUUGAUAUGGAUUACAUUACAUUGCUGUAUCACAAAAAAAAAACUAGUUAUUUCUUCACAAUUUUUUUCGACAGAUUAAAACAUAUACAACACAGGAGAGUUUGUUUCUUUGUUGUUAAGCGCAAAACUACACGAUCGGUUAUCUGUGCUGUGCCUAACUCGAUUUUCAGCGGUGUGAGCCCUCAGACUUACCGCCGAGUCACUGGGGAACACACAGAGAGAAAACUUUGAACUGAUGCAGGUUUCACGUAGCACGUGGUCGAGAAAGCCUUUCAAUUGAUUUGUUCUAAGCAACCUUUGUUCUUUUGUUGUACUCGAAGUGGAUAAUACCUGUUACGCCCUGAAAGGAUAUUUCGCAAUACUACACAUUAUGUAAGGAUGUUGAGAGCAGUGUCCUUCAACGGUAGUUCAGAUGAUAUAUAGAGGUUACAACCCCACCUGUUUUGUACUGAGAAUGACCAUGUCACGUGGAGACGCUAGUCGCCCUGGGUAAAUGCUAAGAAACGUUACAUUUGUUCAGUAUAGUCUAGAGCAUCAUGUUGAUUUAUUCAGUACGAAAGAAAGAGUUAACUACAAAAGGUAUCCAGUCAUGGAGACAGUAUAUACACUAUGUGUGUGUAUUUAAUGUUUAAUAAAGAUUGUGAAUUUUGUAUUACA